Molecule: long non-coding RNA, 407 nt
Filed under: Lathyrus oleraceus (garden pea)
Lineage: Eukaryota; Viridiplantae; Streptophyta; Magnoliopsida; Fabales; Fabaceae
Description: Pisum sativum (pea) long non-coding RNA (PSAT_LNC029291)
Source: RNAcentral
AGCGAUUGAGUAAGAUGGAGAGAGCUCAAAGACGAUGAAUAGUUUCUGUUCCCAUUUUUUUCUUUUUAUUUGUUAAGAAAAUAAACAUUGAAACCUUUAAAACUUUUACGUUUAAUCUUCCCAUGCUUAGUUAAUGGUGUUUUUAGUUAAUACUGUACAUUAACAUAUCAUUUUUGGUAUUCCCAAUCCAUUAACCUCUAGAACCCAACAGUCAAGCGGCUGGUUUUUUUUUGGGUAAUCCAACAGAUAUUUUUUUUAUUAUUAUUUUAGUUUUUAUUUUUUUUAUUUUUUUGUUCCAAUCUUUUCUGACUUAUAUACCCAAGUUAUUAUUGUAAAUAAUAACUAACCAUGAGUAGCCUAGUGGAGAGAGGGUGGUUUCAUGAUCUUUAGUGGAGCGGGUUCGAUAC